This 484-nucleotide ribosomal RNA is filed under the name uncultured bacterium. RNAcentral describes it as "partial 16S ribosomal RNA". It matches the Rfam family "Bacterial small subunit ribosomal RNA", at positions 28 to 523 of the family's 1533-position model. The record is from RNAcentral.
GACGAACGCUGGCGGCGUGCUUAACACAUGCAAGUCGAACGAUGAAGCCGGAGCUUGCUCUGGUGAAUUAGUGGCGAACGGGUGAGUAACACGUGAGUAACCUGCCCUUGACUCUGGGAUAACUGCUAGAAAUGGUAGCUAAUACCGGAUACGACCCUCGGCGGCAUCGCCAGGGGGUGGCAAGAAUUUCGGUCAAGGAUGGACUCGCGGCCUAUCAGCUAGUUGGUGAGGUAACGGCUCACCAAGGCGACGACGGGUAGCCGGCCUGAGAGGGUGGCCGGCCACACUGGGACUGAGACACGGCCCAGACUCCUACGGGAGGCAGCAGUGGGGAAUAUUGCACAAUGGGCGCAAGCCUGAUGCAGCAACGCCGCGUGAGGGAUGACGGCCUUCGGGUUGUAAACCUCUUUUAGUAGGGAAGAAGCGAAAGUGACGGUACCUGCAGAAAAAGCACCGGCUAACUACGUGCCAGCCGCCGCAGUAA